AAUCAAAACUGAGCUGUGAACG
This 22-nucleotide small nuclear RNA is filed under the name Arabidopsis thaliana (thale cress). RNAcentral describes it as "snRNA_11127". Lineage: Eukaryota; Viridiplantae; Streptophyta; Magnoliopsida; Brassicales; Brassicaceae. The record is from RNAcentral.